This 96-nucleotide transfer RNA is filed under the name Bacillota bacterium. Its description in RNAcentral is "Firmicutes bacterium (anaerobic digester metagenome) tRNA-Sec". It matches the Rfam family "Selenocysteine transfer RNA". Lineage: Bacteria; Bacillati; Bacillota. The record is from RNAcentral.
GGGGGUAGUUGGCGGCCUGGUGCUGUCCUCGGACUUCAAAUCCGAUGGUGGGCUGACGAAGUCCACGGUGGGUUCGAUUCCCAUCUACUCCCGCCA